AAAGAAAGCAAAAAUGUGCUGAUAAAAGGAUCUGUCUCUGGGAAGAUGGCCUCAGGAGAACAGAAAAUGCCUUAACACCAAAGAGUGUCCUCUUACUCCAUGCUGAUGUUGCCCCUGCUCCAGCUACAUAUUUGUGUGCAGCAAGAUCUUCAUCAAAAUAAUUUACAGUAGAUUGAAGGCAGAGAAGAUAUGAAAAAUGAAAAUCCAACCAUCUGAAGACAUUGAAAGAAUUUGUAAAAAAUGUAAAACAGUAACAUUCUUCUCAUGAAUUUAUUUUUAGAAUAUAUAAUUUCCCAUAU
Molecule: long non-coding RNA, 299 nt
Filed under: Homo sapiens (human)
Lineage: Eukaryota; Metazoa; Chordata; Mammalia; Primates; Hominidae
Description: HSALNT0335659
Source: RNAcentral